GGGGCUGACCGGUUUUGACAGCAAGAUGGAUGUUUAUGUAAGCAUGCCGAGCCUUGCGAUGACGCUCGUAAAUCUUGAUCGCAAACAACAAUUGGCGAAACUAACUACGCUCUCGCUGCGUAAUCGAAGUUUAGUAGAUUACUGCUUCAUUCCGAUACAAGGUAUCGGAACGAGACAUCCCGCAGGUGGAAAUGCCUGAUACCGGCCUGAUCACGGGGUGCUAAUCAAUUUCGGGAUAGCUUUUCAGAAGCUUCGACUGUAAAGUAAAAUAAAGAAGAUAAGAUAGGGUUUAGGGUGUCUGCUCCCUUGCACUAUUCGAAAACCAAUAGCAGAAUAAGCAUGUAGAAAGCCUACGUAUUCCUUGUUUGGACCAGGGUUCGACUCCCUGCAGCUCCACAA
This 399-nucleotide transfer-messenger RNA is filed under the name Bacteroidales. RNAcentral's name for it is "JALNZU01 sp002842755 Standard tmRNA". It matches the Rfam family "transfer-messenger RNA". From Rfam's summary of the family: Bacterial tmRNA, also known as 10Sa RNA or SsrA, is named for its dual tRNA and mRNA-like properties. Its role is to liberate the mRNA from a stalled ribosome. Lineage: Bacteria; Pseudomonadati; Bacteroidota; Bacteroidia. RNAcentral also lists the same sequence under 1 other name. The record is from RNAcentral.